This 2668-nucleotide long non-coding RNA is filed under the name Hordeum vulgare. RNAcentral describes it as "long non-coding RNA (HVUL_LNC012421)". Lineage: Eukaryota; Viridiplantae; Streptophyta; Magnoliopsida; Poales; Poaceae. The record is from RNAcentral.
UACCCGGUGUGUAUCAGCCAUCAGAGCCAUGGAGUUUGGUGAGGACGGAGCUUGGAGUAAACCUCGACACGCCCCUACCUGGCACGCCAAAUGUUGGAUUUCGGGCUCUGCAAAACCCUAAGGACUCAAACACUGGCGCGUGUACAAAGAUCUCCCCUUCUUCGCCUCGCCUGUCUCACUACUCGAUGGAAACAAUGAAGGACUCACUAGAAGGUGAGGAGAACACAGAACCCAGCAACUUACCCAGGUUCGAGCCGCUAUGAAGCGUAAAACCCUAAUACUGCUUUGGAGGAUUGCCUCUCUUCAAGGUUGAGGAACGAGAUGGUACAUGGCUUUUGCGCCUCCGGAGGCCAAGUGGCUAAGCGUGCUGCACUAGGGUUUCGAUCCCCUCUCUCAAGUAUCUGUUGGGCAAGGUUGCAUGGGAAACAAAAAAAUUCCUACGCACACGAAGACCUAUCAUGGUGAUGUUCAUCUACGAGAGGGAGGUCAUAUCCACAUACCCUUGUAGAUCGCUAAGCACGAAGUGUUAAGAAAUGUAGUUGAUGUAGUGGAACAGCUUUGUGAUUCAAAUCACCAUUGUCCCACGAUCCGUCCCGAUCUAGUACCGAACGGACCACACCUCUGCGUUCAGCGCACGUACAGCUCGAUGACGAUCUCUGCCUUCUUGAUCCAGCAAGAGAGACGGGGAUGUAGAUGAGUUCUCCGGCAGCGUGAUGGCGUGCUGGUGAUGGUGAUGAUCUAUUCCUACAGGGCUCCGCCCGACCUCCGCAAAAAACCGAUCUAGAGGAAGAACUACGAAGUAGAGGUUUAGGGUUUCAUGUGGCAAAGUUUUUUCUCAAGAACACUAAAAUCUCUAGUAUAUAUAGUAGGAGGGGAGGGGCUAGCCUUGGGGAUCAAGAGAGCCCCUAGGGCGUCGGCCGAGUGGAGGAGGAGGGACUCCCACUCCAAUUCGGUUUGGGAAGGAGGAGUCCCUUCCUUCCUUCCCACCUCCCUCUUUUUUUUCUCCUUUGAUUUUUCCUCUUGGACGAAAUAGCCCUAUUAGGCUGGCCUCACCAGCCCACCAAGGGCUGGUGCGCCACCCAUGGCCUAUUAGGUUCUCUCCCGGGUGGGUGGCCCCCUCCCGGUAAAAACCCGGAACCCAUUCAUCACUCCCGGUACACUGCCGGUAAUGCCCGAAAUCUUUCCGGAAGCCAAAUGAAACAAUCCUAUAUAUCAAUCUUCGUUUCCGGACCAUUUCGGAAACUCACUUGAUGUCUGUCAUCUCAUCCGGGAGUCCCAACAAACCUUCGGUCGCCAACACCUAUAACUCAACUAUACUGAAACGUCACCGAACCUUAAGUAUGCAGACCCUGCGGGUUCGAGAACAAUGCAGACAUGACCUGAGACACUCCCUGAUCAAUAUCCAAUGGAGGGACCUGGAUGUCCAUAUUGGAUCCUACAUAUUCUACAAAGAUCUUAUCAGUUGAACCUCUGUGCCAAGGAUUCAUAUAAUCCCGUAUACCAUUCCCUUUGUCCUUCGGUAUGUUACUUUCCCGAGAUUCGAUCGUCGGUAUCCCUAUACCUAUUUAAAUCUCGUUACCGGCAAGUCUCUUUACUCGUUCUGUAAUACAAGAUCCUGUGACAAACACUUUAGUCACAUUUCUUGCAAGGCUUAUAUGUGAUGUUGUAUUACCGAGUGGGCCCCGAGAUACCUCUCCGUCACANNNNNNNNNNNNNNNNNNNNNNNNNNNNNNNNNNNNNNNNNNNNNNNNNNNNNNNNNNNNNNNNNNNNNNNNNNNNNNNNNNNNNNNNNNNNNNNNNNNNAGCAUGUUUUCUCGAGCCAUGUUGGUACAUGAACAUGGACAUACACAUAUUCUUAGGAACAAAUAAGAAAGAUAAAUGGAGAAGGAAAACCCAAAGCAAUGUCAGAGUUGACAAAACUGCAAUGGCACUUUAUAUGUGGCCCAUCGUCAGUGAGCUGUUUAUGCCUUGCCGGACUCCUCGCAGCCUGGUGGCUUGAAGGCGAUGAAGCUGACGCACUGCACCUGACGCAUGUUGUCGAAUCCGAUGAUGCGGACAUACGCGUCAGGGUACUCCUUCUUGACCUCCUCCACCUCGUUGAGCACCUGUGUGGCGUCGGUGCAUCCGAACAUAGGCAGCUUCCACAUUGUCCAGUACCGGCCAUCGUAGUACCCAGGAGAUGCGUUGUGCUCACGGAAGAUGAACCCAACCUUGCUGAACUCGAGGCAAGGCACCCACUUGGAGCGGAUCAGGUAGUCGACCUGCUUAAGGAGGGCCUCCGUGCUGAGUGGUGGCAAGUAAGACAGGGUCUCGAACUUCUUGAUGCCCUCGAUGGGCCACACCUGCAAAUCAGAUUCACGUCUAUACAUUAAGAGACUAUAACUCUAGUUCUACACGUUUGAUUGUUCUUCUUGACAUCCGUCGGCUUAAAAAUGACUAGAAAGACAGAGACGAUGUUGUUUACCUGCAUGCACCUGAUCCUUCCACCGUUGCUGACGCUGCCGAGGCUAGCACCGUUCGAGCGGCGGCUGACGGGGAGGCCGGCGGUGGACUUGAGCCCCUGGAAAGGAGCGACGGAGGUGGCCGACGAGGCCAUCACGGUGGGGGCCAUAGCUGUACUAUGUAGGUAUAUAGCUUGCUAGAGGGAGGCACACUGGCUUGAGGACUG